RNAcentral lists this ribosomal RNA (505 nucleotides) under uncultured bacterium. Its description in RNAcentral is "partial 16S ribosomal RNA". It matches the Rfam family "Bacterial small subunit ribosomal RNA", at positions 28 to 507 of the family's 1533-position model. The record is from RNAcentral.
GACGAACGCUGGCGGCGUGCCUAAUACAUGCAAGUCGAACGCACAGUUUAUACCGUAGCUUGCUACACCAUAGACUGUGAGUUGCGAACGGGUGAGUAACGCGUAGGUAACCUGCCUGGUAGCGGGGGAUAACUAUUGGAAACGAUAGCUAAUACCGCAUAAUAUUGAUUAUUGCAUGAUAAUUGAUUGAAAGAUGCUAUUGCAUCACUACCAGAUGGACCUGCGUUGUAUUAGCUAGUAGGUGAGGUAACGGCUCACCUAGGCGACGACACAUAGCCGACCUGAGAGGGUGAUCGGCCACACUGGGACUGAGACACGGCCCAGACUCCUACGGGAGGCAGCAGUAGGGAAUCUUCGGCAAGGGACGAAAGUCUGACCGAGCAACGCCGCGGGAGUGAAGAAGGGUUUCGGAUCGUAAAGCUCUGUUGUAAGAGAAGAACGGGUGUGAGAGUGGAAAGUUCACACUGUGACGGUAGCUGACCAGAAAGGGACGGCUAACUACGUG